Molecule: ribosomal RNA, 446 nt
Filed under: uncultured bacterium
Lineage: Bacteria
Description: partial 16S ribosomal RNA
Rfam family: Bacterial small subunit ribosomal RNA
Source: RNAcentral
CCUACGGGACGCUGCAGUCGAGAAUCAUUCACAAUGGGGGAAACCCUGAUGGUGCGACGCCGCGUGGGGGAAUGAAGGUCUUCGGAUUGUAAACCCCUGUCAUGUGGGAGCAAAUUAAAAAGAUAGUACCACAAGAGGAAGAGACGGCUAACUCUGUGCCAGCAGCCGCGGUAAUACAGAGGUCUCAAGCGUUGUUGGGAAUCACUGGGCGUAAGGCGUGCGUAGGCUGUUUCGUAAGUCGUGUGUGAAAGGCGCGGGCUCAACCCGCGGACGGCACAUGAUACUGCGAGACUAGAGUAAUGGAGGGGGAACCGGAAUUCUCGGUGUAGCAGUGAAAUGCGUAGAUAUCGAGAGGAACACUCGUGGCGAAGGCGGGUUCCUGGACAUUAACUGACGCUGAGGCACGAAGGCCAGGGGAGCGAAAGGGAUUAGAUACCCCAGUAGUC